UGCCAUUUUCUCAUCCACAAAGUGGUAUACUACUAGCACCAGCCUGUGUAGCUUAAGUGGGUAUUAUGCAAAAUAUUGAGAAUAAGUCCUGGUAGAAGAGUAGGUGCUGCACUUUUAUCUGUGUGAUUGUUAUUCCUUGCUCAUAAGAGUUUGAGGACAGAGGUUUGCACCAACCACACUACCAUCUCCCUUCUCUGCCUCUCUACCCAUCACGCAGCUGUGAGGACUGCAGCCCAGGGAGGUGAGUGGCAGUGCCCACGCCACUGCCUGGUCUUUUUCCUGGCUCAGCUUCUCCCACUCAUGCCUGGAGCCAUCUCACCCUCCACACACGCACCCUCAUCUCUGCCGCUCUCCCUCCGGAUCAGCUGAGAACGCUGAGUCAUCGAGUACCCCCCACCCCUCCGAGCCUGCAAUGUGUCAACAGCCAGCCCACCCGGGCUCAGCUCCCAGCCGCCUGAGUCAGCCCUGACUGAGCCUCUCCCCGGAUCCUGUCUCACCGGCCUUCCCCUCCAGCUCCAGGCCCUGCUCUUCAGGAUUCUCAUGAGGACAAAUUAGAGCACCUGUCACUAUAGCCAGCACUCAAGAAAUGGGAUUAUCAUCAGAGGGAAAAAUGCACAGCCUCACCAGCUAUUAAACAUAUGGAAAUGAUGACAAUUUAAAGCUUAUAAAUAACAUUAGCGGUGGCUUGGAUUUAUUGUUGUGGCCUCCGGAAGAACUUGGGCACAGUGUAACUUCCUGGGGCCCGAGGUUGUUAAUCGGUGAAUUGUUCAUGAAGGACAGUGCUCACUGUGAAGG
Molecule: long non-coding RNA, 795 nt
Filed under: Homo sapiens (human)
Lineage: Eukaryota; Metazoa; Chordata; Mammalia; Primates; Hominidae
Description: HSALNT0300342
Source: RNAcentral